CUCAGGACGAACGCUGGCGGCGUGCCUAAUACAUGCAAGUCGAGCGCACCGCGGGGAGCUUGCUUCCGGCGGUGAGCGGCGGAUGGGUGAGUAACACGUGGGCAACCUGCCGGGCAGACGGGGAUAACUGGGGGAAACCGCAGCUAAGACCGGAUAGGGCGCACGCACCGCCUGGUGCGUGCGGGAAAGGCGGCUACGGCCGCGCUGCCCGAGGGGCCCGCGGUGCAUUAGCCAGUUGGCGGGGCAGAGGCCCACCAAAGCAACGAUGCAUAGCCGACCUGAGAGGGUGAUCGGCCACAUUGGGACUGAGACACGGCCCAAACUCCUACGGGAGGCAGCAGUAGGGAAUCUUCCACAAUGGACGAGAGUCUGAUGGAGCAACGCCGCGUGAGCGAAGAAGGUUUUCGGAUCGUAAAGCUCUGUUGCCGGAGAAGAACGGGCGGGAGAGGGAAUGCUCCCGUCGUGACGGUAUCCGGCGAGCAAGUCACGGCUAACUACGUGCCAGCAGCCGCGGUAAUACGUAGGUGGCGAGCGUUGUCCGGAAUUAUUGGGCGUAAAGGGCACGCAGGCGGCUGUUUAAGUCCGGUGUGAAAGGUUGCGGCUUAACCGCAAACGGGCACCGGAAACUGAAGAGCUUGAGGGCAGAAGAGGGGAGCAGAAUUCCACGUGUAGCGGUGAAAUGCGUAGAGAUGUGGAAGAAUACCGGUGGCGAAAGCGGCUCUCUGGUCUGCACCUGACGCUGAGGUGCGAAAGCGUGGGGAGCGAACAGGAUUAGAUACCCUGGUAGUCCACGCCGUAAACGAUGAAUGCUAGGUGUUAGGGGGGUCCAACCCCUUAGUGCUGAAGGCAACCCAUUAAGCAUUCCGCCUGGGGAAUACGACCGCAAGGUUGAAACUCAAAGGAAUUGACGGGGGCCCGCACAAGCAGUGGAGCAUGUGGUUUAAUUCGAAGCAACGCGAAGAACCUUACCAGGUCUUGACAUCCUCCGCGAGCCGGAGAGAUCCGGGGUUCCCCUUCGGGGGACGGAGUGACAGGUGGUGCAUGGUUGUCGUCAGCUCGUGUCGUGAGAUGUUGGGUUAAGUCCCGCAACGAGCGCAACCCUUAAGCCCGGUUGCCAGCAUUAAGUUGGGCACUCGGGGCUGACUGCCGGUGACAAACCGGAGGAAGGUGGGGAUGACGUCAAAUCAUCAUGCCCCUGAUGAUCUGGGCGACACACGUGCUACAAUGGGCGGUACAAAGGGCAGCGAAGCCGCGAGGCGGAGCGAAUCCCGGAAAGCCGCCCCCAGUUCGGAUUGCAGGCUGCAACCCGCCUGCAUGAAGCCGGAAUUGCUAGUAAUCGCGGAUCAGCAUGCCGCGGUGAAUCCGUUCCCGGGCCUUGUACACACCGCCCGUCACACCACGAGAGUGAGUAACACCCGAAGUCGGUGGGGGAACCGCAAGGACCCAGCCGCCGAAGGUGGGACGCAUGAUUGGGGUGA
This 1478-nucleotide ribosomal RNA is filed under the name Sporolactobacillus inulinus. RNAcentral describes it as "bacterial SSU rRNA". It matches the Rfam family "Bacterial small subunit ribosomal RNA". Lineage: Bacteria; Bacillati; Bacillota; Bacilli; Caryophanales; Sporolactobacillaceae. The record is from RNAcentral.